GUGGGGAAUUUUGGACAAUGGGCGCAAGCCUGAUCCAGCAAUGCCGCGUGCAGGAAGAAGGCCUUCGGGUUGUAAACUGCUUUUGUACGGAACGAAACGGUCCGGGUUAAUACCCUGGGCUAAUGACGGUACCGUAAGAAUAAGCACCGGCUAACUACGUGCCAGCAGCCGCGGUAAUACGUAGGGUGCAAGCGUUAAUCGGAAUUACUGGGCGUAAAGCGUGCGCAGGCGGGUUUGUAAGACAGGCGUGAAAUCCCCGGGCUCAACCUGGGAAUUGCGCUUGUGACUGCAAGGCUGGAGUGCGGCAGAGGGGGAUGGAAUUCCGCGUGUAGCAGUGAAAUGCGUAGAUAUGCGGAGGAACACCGAUGGCGAAGGCAAUCCCCUGGGCCUGCACUGACGCUCAUGCACGAAAGCGUGGGGAGCAAACAGGAUUAGAAACCCCUGUAGUCC
Molecule: ribosomal RNA, 450 nt
Filed under: uncultured bacterium
Lineage: Bacteria
Description: partial 16S ribosomal RNA
Rfam family: Bacterial small subunit ribosomal RNA
Source: RNAcentral